Molecule: ribosomal RNA, 460 nt
Filed under: uncultured bacterium
Lineage: Bacteria
Description: partial 16S ribosomal RNA
Rfam family: Bacterial small subunit ribosomal RNA
Source: RNAcentral
CCUACGGGAGGCAGCAGUGAGGAAUAUUGGUCAAUGGGCUUACGCCUGACCCAGCCAAGUCGCGUGAGGGAAGACUGCUCUCUGGGUUGUAAACCUCUUUUGUCAGGGAGCAAUUGGCGCUACGUGUAGCGUUAUCGAUCGUACCUGACGAAACAUCAUCGGCAAACUCCGUGCCAGCAGCCGCGGUAAUACGGGGGAUGCGAGCGUUAUCCGGAUUUAGUGGGUUUAAAGGGUGCGUAGGCGGAAUGCCAAGUCAGCGUGAAAAUCGCGGGGCUCAACCUCGCUCCGCCGUUGACACUGGCGUUCUUGAGUGCGCGAGAAGGAUGCGGAAUGCGUGGUGUAGCGGUGAAAUGCAUAGAUAGCACGCAGAACUCCGAUUGCGAAGGCAGCAUACCGGCGCCCAACUGACGCUGAAGCACGAAAGCGUGGGUAUCGAACAGGAUUAGAUACCCCUGUAGUC